GAAGAAAGUAAGCAGAACACCACAAAACUGGUUGCUGUUUCACCUGUGCUUCUGGGAGCUGUCCUGAUGGCUUGAGAAAGACUGGGCGGCCCCAACGUUCAACUUUCUGUUCUGUCACAUGAUACCCGGUCCAGAAAGGAACGCCUCCCUGAUGUCUGCUGACUCUCAACAAAAUGACUACUGUUAAGUGGAACCAUCCAAUAAUACAGCAUUCUGGCGGCCUGUCUUUGGGUCCAGGGAGUACAGUGGUGCCAGCUCCAGAAUUCUAGACUCCUCUGUUUAUGUGGACAUUUAUUUCCAGAGAGUCCCUUUUCCAGCAUGAUUUCCCUACCAUGAUCAGAAUCAAAACAGGUAAGGGUGGCCUGUAACACAGUUCCUGUUUAGAUAUGUGUUUGCAGCGAUGGCAGCCAUUUUGUGACCAGGAGACAGCGUAAGAGAAUCACUCGAUGCUGCCUUUGACCUUGUGGAGCUGCUAUACCAGUGCCAGGAGCUGCCUAUCUCCAGACAUCUUGUCAGGGGAGAAAAAUGCCCCAUAUUCAGUUCAGGUCUUGAAGCUUGGGAUUUCUGUUACUUCCAGCUACUUGUCUAAUCUACCCCAGACCACACAUCCGCCUUUCUAGGGGCAAACACAAAUUGUCUUUGCUAAGCUUUCAGUACUCUUCUUUCUCAUGCAACUUCCUACCAUUGAGGGGUGUUCCCCUGUCCUUCUGGAUUUGGAAAUUAUGACACUCUGCUUGCUGAGGCCCUAGAGAAUUCCUCCUUCAUCCACAGUACUCUGUGACUAUUAAAAGCCUGAGUGAUGGAAAAAACACGAACCAGAAUGUCAGGAGGUGCAAAUUCCAGCCCCAGCCCUGCCAGCACACACUGUGUGUACUCAGGCAAGUCACUCGGCCACUCGGGACGUCAACUGCACAUCUGAGAAAUGAAGAGCUGGGUUAGAAUAUCUCCAAGGUCUCUUUUAGCUAUAACUCCUGCGGAUGCUGAUGGAAAUGGGUGCAAACACAUCUUUUCCCUCUUGGUUUCAAGUUGAUCUCUGAGUAUCUGGUGUAUUUUGAUAUUA
Camelus dromedarius (Arabian camel) is the source of this 1060-nucleotide long non-coding RNA. RefSeq lists it as uncharacterized. The transcript has 3 exons. NCBI's taxonomy places the organism in Eukaryota, Metazoa, Chordata, Mammalia, Artiodactyla, Camelidae. The record is from RefSeq and is a predicted model, not a curated record.